This 741-nucleotide ribosomal RNA is filed under the name Bacteroidetes bacterium SCGC AAA168-G15. RNAcentral's name for it is "bacterial SSU rRNA". It matches the Rfam family "Bacterial small subunit ribosomal RNA", at positions 87 to 828 of the family's 1533-position model. The record is from RNAcentral. Lineage: Bacteria; Pseudomonadati; Bacteroidota.
GCUGACGACCGGCGCACGGGUGCGUAACGCGUAUAGAAUCUACCUUGUACUAGGGGAUAGCCUUUGGAAACGAAGAUUAAUACCCUAUAGUAAGUAUUUAUGGCAUCAUUUAUACUUUAAAGGUUACGGUACAAGAUGACUAUGCGUCCUAUUAGUUUGUUGGUGAGGUAACGGCUCACCAAGACUUCGAUAGGUAGGGGCCCUGAGAGGGGGAUCCCCCACACUGGUACUGAGACACGGACCAGACUCCUACGGGAGGCAGCAGUGAGGAAUAUUGGACAAUGGAGGCAACUCUGAUCCAGCCAUGCCGCGUGCAGGAUGACGGCCCUAUGGGUUGUAAACUGCUUUUAUGUAGGAAGAAACACUCUCACGUGUGAGAGCUUGACGGUACUACAAGAAUAAGGACCGGCUAACUCCGUGCCAGCAGCCGCGGUAAUACGGAGGGUCCAAGCGUUAUCCGGAAUCAUUGGGUUUAAAGGGUCCGUAGGCGGGCUAUUAAGUCAGAGGUGAAAGUUUGCAGCUCAACUGUAAAAUUGCCUUUGAAACUGGUAGUCUUGAAUUAUUAUGAAGUGGUUAGAAUAAGUAGUGUAGCGGUGAAAUGCAUAGAUAUUACUUAGAAUACCAAUUGCGAAGGCAGAUCACUAAUAAUAUAUUGACGCUGAGGGACGAAAGCGUGGGGAGCGAACAGGAUUAGAUACCCUGGUAGUCCACGCCGUAAACGAUGGAUACUAGCUGUUCGGA